Molecule: microRNA, 21 nt
Filed under: Oryza sativa (Asian cultivated rice)
Lineage: Eukaryota; Viridiplantae; Streptophyta; Magnoliopsida; Poales; Poaceae
Description: osa-miR2876-5p
Source: miRBase by way of RNAcentral
AAUUGCUGGCAGCACUGUUUA